RNAcentral lists this transfer RNA (78 nucleotides) under Candidatus Bathyarchaeota archaeon. RNAcentral describes it as "tRNA-Arg". It matches the Rfam family "tRNA". From Rfam's summary of the family: Transfer RNA (tRNA) molecules are approximately 80 nucleotides in length. The record is from RNAcentral. Lineage: Archaea; Thermoproteati; Candidatus Bathyarchaeota. RNAcentral also lists the same sequence under 1 other name.
GGGCCCGUAGCGCAGUCAGGAUAGCGCGGCAGCCUCCUAAGCUGUCGGCCGUGGGUUCGAAUCCCACCGGGCCCGCCA